UACGUAGGGUGCAAGCGUUAAUCGGAAUUACUGGGCGUAAAGGGUGCGUAGGCGGUUUGUUAAGUCUGUUGUGAAAUCCCCGGGCUCAACCUGGGAAUGGCAAUGGAUACUGGCAAGCUAGAGUGUGUCAGAGGAUGGUGGAAUUUCCGGUGUAGCGGUGAAAUGCGUAGAGAUCGGCAGGAACAUCAGUGGCGAAGGCGGCCAUCUGGGUCAACACUGUCGCUGAGGCACGAAAGCGUGGGGAGCAAUCAGG
Molecule: ribosomal RNA, 253 nt
Filed under: uncultured bacterium
Lineage: Bacteria
Description: partial 16S ribosomal RNA
Rfam family: Bacterial small subunit ribosomal RNA
Source: RNAcentral